AACAGGAUUAGAUACCCUGGUAGUCCAUGCCGUAAACGAUGAUUGCUAAGUGUUGGAGGGUUUCCGCCCUUCAGUGCUGCAGCUAACGCAUUAAGUAAUCCGCCUGGGGAGUACGACCGCAAGGUUGAAACUCAAAAGAAUUGACGGGGGCCCGCACAAGCGGUGGAGCAUGUGGUUUAAUUCGAAGCUACGCGAAGAACCUUACCAGGUCUUGACAUCUUCUGCCAACCUAAGAGAUUAGGCGUUCCCUUCGGGGACAGAAUGACAGGUGGUGCAUGGUUGUCGUCAGCUCGUGUCGUGAGAUGUUGGGUUAAGUCCCGCAACGAGCGCAACCCUUAUUACUAGUUGCCAGCAUUCAGUUGGGCACUCUAGUGAGACUGCCGGUGACAAACCGGAGGAAGGUGGGGACGACGUCAAAUCAUCAUGCCCCUUAUGACCUGGGCUACACACGUGCUACAAUGGAUGGUACAACGAGUCGCGAAACCGCGAGGUUUAGCUAAUCUCUUAAAACCAUUCUCAGUUCGGACUGUAGGCUGCAACUCGCCUACACGAAGUCGGAAUCGCUAGUAAUCGCGGAUCAGCAUGCCGCGGUGAAUACGUUCCCGGGCCUUGUACACACCGCCCGUCACACCAUGAGAGUUUGUAACACCCAAAGCCGGUGGGGUAACCUUUUAGGAGCUAGCCGUCUAAGGUGGGACAGAUGAUUAGGGUGAAGUCGUAACAAGGUAACC
Molecule: ribosomal RNA, 731 nt
Filed under: uncultured bacterium
Lineage: Bacteria
Description: bacterial SSU rRNA
Rfam family: Bacterial small subunit ribosomal RNA
Source: RNAcentral